CCUACGGGAGGCAGCAGUGAGGAAUAUUGGUCAAUGGCCGGAAGGCUGAACCAGCCAUGCCGCGUGAAGGUCAGUGCCCUAUGGGCGUUAAACUUCUUUUGUGCGGGAGCAAUAAUGGUCACGUGUGGCCAGACGAGAGUACCGUACGAAUAAGCAUCGGCUAACUCCGUGCCAGCAGCCGCGGUAAUACGGGGGAUGCAAGCGUUAUCCGGAUUUAUUGGGUUUAAAGGGUGUGUAGGCUGUGAGGUAAGUCAGCGGUGAAAUGCCCCCGCUCAACGGGGUGAAGUGCCAUUGAUACUGCCUGGCUGGAAUGCGGAUGCCGUGGGAGGAAUGUGUGGUGUAGCGGUGAAAUGCAUAGAUAUCACACAGAACACCGAUUGCGAAGGCAUCUCACGAAUCCGCGAUUGACGCUGAUGCACGAAAGCGUGGGUAUCAAACAGGAUUAGAUACCCGAGUAGUC
RNAcentral lists this ribosomal RNA (460 nucleotides) under uncultured bacterium. RNAcentral's name for it is "partial 16S ribosomal RNA". It matches the Rfam family "Bacterial small subunit ribosomal RNA", at positions 338 to 795 of the family's 1533-position model. The record is from RNAcentral.